GUGUGCUGGUCGAAGUCCCGGACUUCGAAGCCGAAGCCGAAGCGCUGGCCGG
RNAcentral lists this transfer RNA (52 nucleotides) under Asterionellopsis glacialis. Its description in RNAcentral is "partial Selenocysteine transfer RNA". The record is from RNAcentral. Lineage: Eukaryota; Bacillariophyta; Plagiogrammaphyceae; Rhaphoneidales; Asterionellopsidaceae.